UACCUGAAGGUAGCAGGGAGAUGAGUGUGUGGCCAGAACGUUGAUGAUACUACCAGCCUUUUUGAGGCUGCGACUACGAUAAAUCUCCUCGAUGGAAGAAAGGCCAGAGCCGAUGAUGUACUGGGCAGUGUUUGCUACUUUGUGUAG
Molecule: long non-coding RNA, 147 nt
Organism: Amblyraja radiata (thorny skate)
Lineage: Eukaryota; Metazoa; Chordata; Chondrichthyes; Rajiformes; Rajidae
Exons: 3
Source: RefSeq, a predicted model, not a curated record